Molecule: transfer RNA, 86 nt
Filed under: Crocinitomicaceae bacterium
Lineage: Bacteria; Pseudomonadati; Bacteroidota; Flavobacteriia; Flavobacteriales; Crocinitomicaceae
Description: tRNA-Ser(tga)
Rfam family: tRNA
About the family: Transfer RNA (tRNA) molecules are approximately 80 nucleotides in length. Their secondary structure includes four short double-helical elements and three loops (D, anti-codon, and T loops).
Source: RNAcentral
GGAGAUGUGGCAGAGUGGUCGAAUGCACUUGUCUUGAAAACAAGCGUGCUGCGAGGUACCGGGGGUUCGAAUCCCUCCAUCUCCGC